GCCAGCGUGGCAUAAUAGGUUGAGUGAUGGACGAUGACUCUGGAGGCCAGGGUUCAAUUCCCAGCUCAGCCA
Molecule: non-coding RNA, 72 nt
Organism: Phrynosoma platyrhinos (Desert horned lizard)
Lineage: Eukaryota; Metazoa; Chordata; Lepidosauria; Squamata; Phrynosomatidae
Source: the annotation of a GenBank genome assembly